RNAcentral lists this ribosomal RNA (459 nucleotides) under uncultured bacterium. RNAcentral's name for it is "partial 16S ribosomal RNA". It matches the Rfam family "Bacterial small subunit ribosomal RNA", at positions 338 to 795 of the family's 1533-position model. The record is from RNAcentral.
CCUACGGGCGGCAGCAGUGAGGAAUAUUGGUCAAUGGACGGAAGUCUGAACCAGCCAUGCCGCGUGCAGGAAGACGGCUCUAUGAGUUGUAAACUGCUUUUGUACAAGGGUAAACCUGAAUACGUGUAUUCAGCUGAAAGUACUGUACGACUAAGGAUCGGCUAACUCCGUGCCAGCAGCCGCGGUAAUACGGAGGAUGCGAGCGUUAUCCGGAUUUAUUGGGUUUAAAGGGUGUGUAGGCGGACUGUUAAGUCAGCGGGAAAAGCCCGGGGCUCAACCCCGGCGAGCCGUUGAAACUGGCUGUCUUGAGAAGUCGAGAGGGAUGCGGAAUGCGCAGGGUAGCGGGGAAAUGCUUAGAUAGUGCGCAGAACUCCGAUUGCGAAGGCAGCAUACCGGCGGCGAUCUGACGCUGAGGCACGAAAGCGGGGGUAUCGAACAGGAUUAGAUACCCGAGUAGUC